This is a non-coding RNA of Sesamum indicum (sesame), 1388 nucleotides long. The record is from RefSeq and is a predicted model, not a curated record. Lineage: Eukaryota; Viridiplantae; Streptophyta; Magnoliopsida; Lamiales; Pedaliaceae.
UGGGAUUGUAAUGAAAGUUGGGUUUGAUCAAUUAGAUCCCAUAAUCAUAAAUAUACUAGUCAAACAAUCGAACGACAAUUGGUAAAAACAUACGGUCCUUAUCAUAUUUGAGGAUAUUUUCGUGUUUUUUAGGAACACAAUCUCGUCCUUUAGGGAGGAGUAUUUAGCGAAUAACCCCAUCAGAACGACGGAAGAAAACAGUGCUGUGGCGAUGCCUCCAAAGUUGUUUAGUCGUACUGAGUUUGGACAGCAAAUUCAGCAUGAUAUUUUGUCGCUUAACAAGUUCUUGUUCCAAAAUUGACAGUAUGUUUUUGCCCCGCUGCAGGUUGGCUGACUUGAAAGACUUCAAAUUGGCAAAAUUGUGUGCGCAGAUUUUCCAGAACCUGGACCGGCUGAUCAACGUACCAGGUAGCAGCACCUAGAUUAUGAGCUAAGCCGCAAAACUCGUAUGCUGUACCUAGAACUGAAUGAAUUUCAAUGUAGGAGGUUCAGGGCUAGUGAAUAAUUACUAGAGGUAAUCAAUUGAAGUAACUGUCUGAUGCAAAAUUACAUAUACAACCGAAUCUGUAUGUUUCCAUCUGUAUCAAGAACUGGUUUAUUAACAUUACGUAGCAACUUACAACGUACAAGCCUUGCUAGCCAUUUUUGAAGCUUCAACCACGGUCGCGAAACUCCAGCCUUCUCUUGGUAUACUUCUUACUCCUUCUCCCUCACAACAUCUAUAUGUAUUGGUAUUUUUCAGUUGUUUCAGGUUCGAAAGCGUCCAACACUCACUUCAGAAACGUUGAAAUUGAGUAUACACACAUACUGUUACACCUUUUCUCACACAGACCAAUGUUAGGUUCUCGGUCAUUUUGGUCUUCGCAAGCACCGUCAGCUUCUCUCCCGCGCCUUCGGCUUCUUCAAGAAAAGCCCAGCUACAGAUAACAAAUCUGAUAAACAUUCUUGAGAAGGGUGUUCCAAAGCUACUUGCAUUGAUGCAUUUGCUCAGCUCACACUUGCAGUUAAAAUUUAAUGCAACGAAGACAAAUCAGAGUCUUUGAAUUGCCUGGACGAUACAUUAUAAAAGUUUGUUGAAGGUGAUUUUGAUAUCUAUGUUGCACAAAUGCGAUAACCGCACAUCCGGGGGGAAACCUGAGCAGCUAAUAGCAUCGCAUGUGCCACAGUAGGUGUAUACAUGGGAACAUUAUAAGAGACCGUAAGAAGGUGUAUACAUGGGAAAAGCAUUCCUUCGUAUUGAGAGUGUAAGUAUGAGUUGGCCCGUGUUGAGUUAUUAGAUUUGUAAUGCUAGUGAAUAUAUAAUGUUGGACUGGCAAGUUAUGCAUCAGUGCUGGUACAAAUAUUAGUUGUAUAUCCACAAAUUAUCUUAUAGUAAUCCUUUAGUUAUA